Long non-coding RNA from Sapajus apella (tufted capuchin), 5112 nucleotides. RefSeq lists it as uncharacterized. The record is from RefSeq and is a predicted model, not a curated record. The transcript has 2 exons. Lineage: Eukaryota; Metazoa; Chordata; Mammalia; Primates; Cebidae.
CAAGGACAUAGAUGAAGCUGGAAAACAUCAUUAUCAGCAAACUAACAUGGGAACAGAAAACCAAACACCACACAUUCUCACUCCUAAGUGGGAGUUGAACAAUGAGAACACAUGGACACGGGGGGAACAUUACACAUAAGGGCCUGUUGUGAAGGUGGGCGACUAGGGGAGGAAUAGCAUUAGGAGAAAUAUCUAAUGUAGAUGACAGGUUGAUGGGUGCAGCAAACCACCAUGGGAAGCGUAUAGCUAUGUAACAAGCCUGCACAUUCUGGACAUGUAUCCCAGAAUUUAAAGUAUAAUUAAAAAAAAAGUACGAUCAGUCUUAAAGCAAUAGUCACUGAGUUUUAUGGGUGCUUCAUCAGACUUGUAAUAUAAAUUUUGUUUAAACUAAAUAAAUUGCUAAUUUUGUAGUUUAAUAUGGUCAAAUAUUGGCUCUCUAAACCUUUACAAAACAUAGCUCUUCUGAAAUCAAAAUAAAAUAUAAUAGUGGUAAAAUUAUAAAACCCAAAUAAUUUAGAUAUAUCAAACUUGAGGUAUAACCAAUCUUCUUUUUGCAGUGUUUUAACUGUCAAUGAACUUUUUGGAAAAAAUAAAUCUCUAAUAUGAAGUAAGCAGUAGAGUGUCAGUGCCUUAGGAAAACUAGUCCUCUAUACAAAUGGAAUUUUAGCAACUGUUAUAAACAAAUUAAGAGUAAUUUAAAAUAUAUAAAUAUCAUUUAGUUCCAAGAGUAUGCCAAUCAAAUAAACCUAAUUAAUACUAUAUUAAAUAUAUUCUCCAAAUAAAUGCACUGUGUAUUUUACAAACCAUUUUAUUAUAAAAACAGUUUACGAGAGAUACUUACAUUGAAUUUUUAACAAAGGUUGUUUUUUAAUUUUAGAAAAAUAUUUUUCAAACACCUGUUUCCCACCUCCUUAUUAAAAUCUUUUGGAACAAUCUCAGUAACAUUAUUGGGCAAAUUGUGAAUUUCUUAUAUAAGGACAUGGCACAUCUAUUCAAAUGAAAAGGCUAUGUGACCGUAAGAAAAUACCUUAAUAUAUUUACCAAAAAUGUGAGAAAGACAUAGAAAGUCUUCCUGAGAUUUAUAGGCAGAGAUCAAAGAGAACAGUGGUUACUACAGUGCUCGGAUUUGUAGAGAUAGGGGCAGGCUACUGCCUGCUUAGAGGAGAAAACGCUGCAAAGUGUUCAUAUCAUAAGACUUGGAAUUGGAUAAAUCCGUGUUUGAACAUGGGCUCUGCAUUUACUAGCUAUUUAAUGACAGGCACAUUUAACCUACAUAUAUCCACUGUAUUAUCUGAUAAAUAGGGCUGAUAAUUGUAUGUAAUAAUAGUUCUCAGGUGCUUAUAGAGAUCAAAAUAGAUGAUAUAUGCAAAUUGCCUUGCACAGUGCCUGGCAAACAAUCAAAAACAUUAAUCCUCCUUAGAAUUACUUAGGAGAGGGUUUAUAAAACAAAUACAACUAGUCUGGAGAACAUUAGUGUUGUGCUUGGAUAAGACAGACCUAAGUACCGAAUCCAUACCUCCAUUUAAUUCACCCACCUCCUCAGUAGGAGAAGGAUUUUAUUUUCCUCAGUGGGAUCAGCCGUUGGAUAGUCUUUUUUCUCCCACUUUUCCCAUCCCUUUCCCCAAAUCCCACCAGCUUUCUGAUCCCUUCGUAUGAGUUUUCUACUGCUACAUCACAAAUCACAACAAACUUGACACCUAAAAACAAUACAUAUUUAUAAUGUUACAGUGUCCAUAGGUCAGGAUUCUAGGCACAGCCUUGCUGGGCUCUCUGCUCAGGGCCUCACAAAGUUGUUAUCAAGUCAUGACUGGGCUGUGAUCUCCUCUGAGACUCAGGGUCCUCAUCAAAACUCACUGGUGUUGGGAGAAUUAAGUUCCCUGUGGUUGCAGACUGAGGUCCCAAGUCCCAUGCAGUUUAUAACAUAGCUGUUUGUUUUCUUCACAGCCAGCAGUAGAAUAUUGCUUCUAUUUUGAGCCCUUUUUCUGGGGGAGGGCUGAUCAUCUUUUAAAUAGUGCACUUGAUCAGCUCAGUUCACCCAGGAGAACUAGCCUUCUGAUUAACUCAAAGUCAAUGGCUUUGGGACCAUGGUGACAUCUUCAAAAUCCCCUCAUCUAACCAUGGGAGUGAUAUGUCUCAUAUUCACAGGUCCUGUCUAUAUUGAAAAGAGAGGCUUAUACUGGGCAUUUAUGCCAAAGGGUUAUAAUUUUGGAUACUACAUUAGAAUUUUGCCUUCCAUACCUCGAAUCUAUUUCAACUAAAUAAAGGGCGUUUCAUUUGGCAAUAUGGAUAAGAUUUUAAUGCUAAGGCUCAAUAAAGGCAGUAACAUGAUAUGAUCAAGAUGCAACUUAGGUAUCAUCAGUUAAUACAUUCUGAACAGAGCCUCCUAUUCGGUAUUAGAAAUUGAAUAAUAAGGGAAAGAAGUUGGUCUGGAGAUAACUGUUUAAUAUUUCCAGUGUGAAAAGAGAGACAGAAAAAGAAACCUUGCCUCUUGUCCAAAUGAAGAAAAAUUUCAAAUACCUACUGCAAAUUUAUUAGGAGUCCAUCAAGUUUACCUUCCAAUGCCUUGGGGCUGAGAGAGCUGAACAUUAGGGGUCUCGAUCAAGCAGCUGGUAAAAAAAAAUACAUAAUUACAAACAUUUUCUUUUUUCUAAAAUAUAAUUCUUACAGCUCUCCAAAAGAAAAAGUUUCAUUAAAAUGAGGCAUCGCUGCAUUUAUUCAUGGAUUCUUAUAUUUGUUCAAAAACCUUAGUCAGUUUUAGUCUUUCAUAUACAAGAAACUAGACAUAGUACGCAGCUUUAUACCUUUGUUGAUAAAAAGAGUAUAAUUCAUAACCUCUUUCCUCAAACAGGUACACUUAAGCAAAAUUUGAGAAGAGACAAUAUGCAAACUUUUAAAUGUGAGCAACUUUUAAAAAAAGCCUUCAGAUGGUAAGCAGUGCUGUUAAGCCUUUGGCAUAGCUGUGUGGUAGGAGAGAGAAACAGAGUGGGAAUGAAACUGAUCAUUACUUAAUAGAUUCAAUAAAAAUAGAAUACAAGAAAUAGAAUUAAAUCAUAUCUAAGCAAAUUUCAAACUUAGACGUUCAUCUCAUAUACGCUAUUAAACAUUUUUAACUUUUCUUAUGCAUUAAGAGAACUAACACCAUAAGGGGAAAUAAGCACUUUGUAGCCAGAAAGAUUUACUAUGGGAUUCUUGAGGUCGCACUAGCAAAUCUGCAAAGCAAGGAUAUAUGUACCCAGUUUGCAGGAUUGAGGUUAUAAGAAACACACACACACACACACGCAGUACACAAUACACUAUACAGUGCAUAGCACAUGAAAGAGCUAUGAUAACUGAUGUAAUUAUGAGUCUUUAUAUUGCCGUUGGCAUGUAUAGAUUGUUUUAAGCAAGAAUAUGAUGGAACAGGCAUCCCCUGUAACCUGUCAUGAAAUACUGAGGAAUGUGGUAACUGCAAAAUCAUUGAGUAAAUCAAGGGAGAAGAAGGUGCAUGUUAAUUACUUGGUUUAAAGACCAUUAUAAUGUUAUUUAAUGACACAAAUAAGGCUUCCUAGGAAAACGAAAGCCAAUUCUGCUUGAGUAAAUACCUUAUUUAUUUAUACAUCCCCAUAUCCUAAAAAAAAGAUAAUAAAUCAGGAAAAAAGCAUAAAGAGAUACAUUAAACAUAAGGCUAGUAUUUGUGCUGCAAACGAAAUUUGUAUUUAGCAUUGGCCUUCUUGGCAGCCAAAAACAAUGGAAGAAAAUAAUACAUUUUAAGAAAUGAAAACUUUUUAUGGACUUUAUUCAGAUAGUAUUAUCUCCUAUUUUUAUUUAUAUGUUAGUGUAUUGCUAAAGGUAUUUUCAUUUUUUGUGGUCUCUAUGAAGGACUAUUAAUUUCAGCAUAAUAUUAAAAUACAACUCACUGAAGGAGAUUUGUUCAGUGAAUGAGGCCUUCUCUUGUGGAAACAAUCUUUUUCCUUCAUGUUAUACCUCUGUUUUUAAAAUUCAGCAACAAAGAGCCAUUCAAAGUAGUCAAAGCAAUUUAAAGUUUUAGCCAAUAGAUGAGAAAAUACACAUACAAUGAAAAUCAACAUUAUACAGAUACCAUUUGCAGCUGUUGGUUCUGUACAGGUUCCCAUGUACAAAAGAUUUGCCUACAAUCUCAGAGUCAAGAAAAUUCGGUUCAAAUCCAGCUAUGCUAAAGUGAGUGUAGGCUGAUCACUUAUUGGAUAGUUACUUAACAGCCUUUAAAUGAAGAAAUUGUACUAUAUUGAUGUCAAUGCCGGCAACAAGGCCUAGCACAGAGGAUAUACUCCACAAAUAUGUUUAAGAAUGGAUACUAUCCUCUGUGGUGACAGUGAUCUUAUUUAACCAGUUUGGUGGCUAAGAAGAGUUAGUUGAUACAAAUAUUUGGUAUUUAUUGAUUAGAAAAGGGGAGGUGGUAACAACAAAAGCCCAAAGCAUGUAUCAGGGUUUCUCAACCUAGGCACGCUUAAUAUUUUGAAUCAGAUAACUCUUUGUUGUGGGGGGCUGUCCGUGCAUUGCAGAACACUCAGCAGCAUCACUGGCUUCUGCCCACUAGAUGCUAGUGACAUCUCAAGUUGUGACAACCAAAAAUAUCUACAAACAUUUUGACCCCAUUUGAGAAACACAGGCAUAUACAAACUUGUGUGUGUGUGUGUGUGUGUGUGUGUGUGUGUGUGUGUGUGUGUGUGUGUGUGUGUGUGUGUGUGUGUGUUGUAGCACCAAACAUGAAACCUCUCCUCUAUCCUCAUCUCUACCCGCUUUUUGGUAGGUAGAGAGGCAGAUGGACUCAAUGAAAGAUAAUUAAAACUAUGCGGAUGGUAACCAAAACUUAGAAGUUGCUAAUACAAAAGACAUGAUCUGGUUAGGAUUAUUUAGCUGUACCAAUUUCCUCUUUCCAUAUUUUACCUUCUGCCAGAAAAAGGAGGGGCCAGGACAGUGAUGGGCUGGAGGUGGCUGCAGAACUGAUUGUACACAUCUCUUCUGAACUCCACGUUCUGUGACAUAAUGUCAGCUCAAAAGUGGAAAUAUUGUCAGCAGUGGAAAUAUUCAGAGUGGGGAAAUCAGUGAAUGCCACAAAUCAGAACUUCCCCUCCACCCCCCCACAAGAGAGCC